Molecule: ribosomal RNA, 331 nt
Filed under: uncultured eukaryote
Lineage: Eukaryota
Description: partial 18S ribosomal RNA
Rfam family: Eukaryotic small subunit ribosomal RNA
Source: RNAcentral
CCCUUAGAUGUUCGGGGCCGCACGCGCGCUACACUGACGGAGGCAGCGAGCAUGUCCUUCGCCGAGAGGUGUGGGGAAUCUUGUGAGUCUCCGUCGUGCUGGGGAUAGAUGGUUGCAAUUGUCGAUCUUGAACGAGGAAUUCCUAGUAAGCGCGAGUCAUCAGCUCGCGCUGAUUACGUCCCUGCCCUUUGUACACACCGCCCGUCGCUACUACCGAUUGGAUGGCUUAGCGAGAAUUUUGGAUCGGAGCCCGGGUGGUCGGCAACGGUCGCCCGGGAGAUCUGAGAAAUCAUUCCAGCUUGGUCAUCUAGAGGAAGUAAAAGUCGUAACA